GCGCGGAUGGCGGAAUUGGCAGACGCGCUAGAUUCAGGGUCUAGUAGGGAAACCUGUGCGGGUUCAACUCCCGCUCCGCGCA
RNAcentral lists this transfer RNA (82 nucleotides) under Candidatus Omnitrophota bacterium. RNAcentral describes it as "tRNA-Leu". It matches the Rfam family "tRNA". From Rfam's summary of the family: Transfer RNA (tRNA) molecules are approximately 80 nucleotides in length. Their secondary structure includes four short double-helical elements and three loops (D, anti-codon, and T loops). Further hydrogen bonds mediate the characteristic L-shaped molecular structure. tRNAs have two regions of fundamental functional importance: the anti-codon, which is responsible for specific mRNA codon recognition, and the 3' end, to which the tRNAs corresponding amino acid is attached (by aminoacyl-tRNA synthetases). tRNAs cope with the degeneracy of the genetic code in two manners: having more than one tRNA (with a specific anti-codon) for a particular amino acid; and 'wobble' base-pairing, i.e. permitting non-standard base-pairing at the 3rd anti-codon position. The record is from RNAcentral. Lineage: Bacteria; Pseudomonadati; Candidatus Omnitrophota.